RNAcentral lists this ribosomal RNA (253 nucleotides) under uncultured bacterium. Its description in RNAcentral is "partial 16S ribosomal RNA". It matches the Rfam family "Bacterial small subunit ribosomal RNA", at positions 524 to 776 of the family's 1533-position model. The record is from RNAcentral.
UACGUAGGGGGCAAGCGUUGUCCGGAUUUAUUGGGCGUAAAGAGCGUGUAAGCGGUUAGGUAGGUCCGUUGUGAAAACUCGAGGCUCAACCUCGAGACGCCGAUGGAAACCAUCUGACUAGAGUCCGGAAGAGGAGAGUGGAAUUCCUGGUGUAGCGGUGAAAUGCGCAGAUAUCAGGAAGAACACCCGUGGCUAAGGCGGCUCUCUAGUACGUGACUGACGCUGAGACGCGAAAGCGCGGGGAGCGAACAGG